RNAcentral lists this ribosomal RNA (485 nucleotides) under uncultured bacterium. RNAcentral's name for it is "bacterial SSU rRNA". It matches the Rfam family "Bacterial small subunit ribosomal RNA", at positions 8 to 525 of the family's 1533-position model. The record is from RNAcentral.
AGAGUUUGAUCAUGGCUCAGAACGAACGCUGGCGGCAGGCUUAACACAUGCAAGUCGAGGGGGCAGCAAUGUCACCGGCGAACGGGUGCGUAACGCGUAUGCAACCUGGCCAUAUCAGGGGGAUAGCCCUAGGAAACUGGGAUUAAUACCGCAUAAUACAGGGAUUGGCAUCAAUUUCUGUUGAAAGAUUUAUCGGAUAUGGAUGGGCAUGCGUAGGAUUAGCUAGUUGGUGGGGUAAAAGCCUACCAAGGCGACGAUCUUUAGCUGGUCUGAGAGGAUGAUCAGCCACACUGGGACUGAGACACGGCCCAGACUCCUACGGGAGGCAGCAGUGGGGAAUAUUGGACAAUGGGCGAAAGCCUGAUCCAGCAAUGCCGCGUGAGUGAUGAAGGCCCUAGGGUUGUAAAGCUCUUUUACCAGGGAUGAUAAUGACAGUACCUGGAGAAUAAGCUCCGGCUAACUCCGUGCCAGCAGCCGCGGUAAUA